AAGGAUAUUACUCGCGUGCACCUUUCUAUGGAUAUUACUCGCGUGCACCUUCGAAAACACUUCCAACGCCUUAUCAAACUUUCUUAAGUUUGUGUAUCUAUCUUUUGUAGGCACCAAAUUUACUAUAUAGGCAAAUUUGAUAUGUAAAGCAAAAAAUUUACAAAUAACAUGAAUAAAAAAUAUAAUAAUAUAAUACCAAAGUUGAAAAAGAACUAGGUUGAAGCAGAGUCGAGAUUAGAUAUCUUUCCUUAAUCCUUUAAACGCCCGUAGUGUGCCGGUUUGAUACGUUUAAGAAUCCCAGGAUACAACUGCCUAUAUCUUCAGUCUCACAGCACUUGAGAACCAAAGCCUGUCGAACUUAUUUCUAUGUUAUACUCUCAGACACAAAACAAAAAAAAAUAGGAGAAAGUGGUUUUGUUUGUAUUGGAUGUGUAUAUAGAAUGAGAAGAGCAUGGUUUUAUAUAGCCUCAUAAAAUAACGUGCAUCACAAAGCACUAAAUGGAGAUUUUAAUUUUGAUUCUAUCAUGAUUAUGAAAUCAUGGGCUGUAUUGAUUCUCCAUAUGUUACAGCAUUGAAUCCAAAAUCAAAUUCAUUAUUGGUCAAAGACGUUAGUCAAAGAAGAGAGACAAAGAGAUCUUUUGCUUUAUUAUUUGUAAGAUAAUUAGCAAUAGACUUUGGGCUAAGCAAAUAAAUCUCAGUCCAGCCCAAGCAUCUCUUUACUUAACACACCAAAGUGUUUACAAAGUUUUUUUAUAACUUUGUUAUAACUUCUCCAUUUUAAACACAAGAGGUUUCUUACCUCACAGUUCUAAUAUAGAUAUUUUACAAAUAAUCUAUUUUAGACUUUCAUUUCUCAUUCAAACGAACUUCGUUUUUGAUAUAUGAUUACACUAUACCAUAGUGCUCAUAACAAUAAAUCCUACGAUUCCACAAUCCGGUCAUUUCGACAAUCAAAUUGCUCGAAAAAUUUACCGGAAUAUUGGCCAUAGCCAUUUGUCCAAAAAACAGUUCCAACAUCUUUAUGUUACUUUGUUUGGUUUGCUCUUCAAAUUUCAGAAGGGAUUGCACAUCUUAUGUCGGAUGUUGCAUUAACAUUUGUAAUCGUUUAAGAUUAUCAAUGAAAAUCAUGUUGUGAACAAAAAAAAAAAAAAACAUGCAUGCUCUAGCUAGUACCGAACAAACCUUUACUCGUGCCAACUUCCCUAAAGGAUUUCAUUUUUGGUACCUCAACCGCAGCUUUUCAGGUGUCAUACCUGAUCAGAUAGUACAUUAUAUUAUAUAUACCCUUGUACGAACUGACCAGUUCUAUUGAACCGGUCCUAGCUACAAAGAUUGAAUAAAAACCUCCCUUCCUAAAAAACAGCCUGUACUUUUGAG
This 1377-nucleotide long non-coding RNA is filed under the name Brassica rapa (field mustard). RNAcentral describes it as "long non-coding RNA (BRAP_LNC005548)". Lineage: Eukaryota; Viridiplantae; Streptophyta; Magnoliopsida; Brassicales; Brassicaceae. The record is from RNAcentral.